This 2594-nucleotide long non-coding RNA is filed under the name Equus caballus (horse). RNAcentral describes it as "lncRNA (ENSECAG00000046226.1)". Lineage: Eukaryota; Metazoa; Chordata; Mammalia; Perissodactyla; Equidae. The record is from RNAcentral.
CCGCAGAGAGAAGCAAGUUAGGAGCUUCCAAUGGCACCUGCUUUUCUGGGACAAGUGCCAUCUGGAAUCAGGCGGUUUCCUCACUGUGUGCCUAUUUCUGGACAAAGGAGAAGAGAAUUGGAUCAGAUGCAGGCAUCCUCUCCCAUAUCCUCCAGCUGCCUGGCAGACCCAAUGAAGAUGCCCCACUCCCGCUCAGCUGGCUUACUUGGCCGCUGGGAGUGGGACACGUGUGGAAUUGCACCCCAACUUCCUGCACAACACCAUCAGUCAAUCAGAUACUCGGGCCACGCAUGGAGACAAUGUCCUGAAACGCAUCCUUGUGGCUCCCCCCUCCUCGGUUCUUGCAUCGGUCUUGAGCUGGCUCCUCUUGUGGCAGCUCAGUGGCUGCAGCCUGUCCAGAGCCCCCAGUUGUCCCCACACCACCUGGAGCAGAAAUGUCCCCUCCAGAGACCUCAGGGACCAGAAAGGAAGCUGGGACUCCUAUCCAGCAGCCAGGGCCACUAUCUCCUGUGUCUCCAUAGCUCACACCAGGCCUCAAACUGCUCCCUGGACAGCGGCUGCAGGAGGACAGAGGUGGAUGUCAAGAUGGGGGGACAGGGACUGGAUGUGGAGAGACCUUCCCCCAAGUUCACCAGGGGACCACUUUUACUUCUUACAUUAAUUUUUUUUUUUUUUUUUUUUUUUUACUAUGAGUAGGUAAUGCCUUUAAAGUAACCCAUAAGAAACAAGAAGCUCUCACUUUAGAUCUGACCAAGUCUUUCCACCGAGGGCUGAUUUAGGAAUAGAAGAAACACUGACUUCUCUUGGGGGGGAAGAAAUGAGGGGGUGCCCCAGAGAAGCCGGCUUCUGCCUGGAAGGGGUCAGGAUGGGGGAAGCUGGAGGCUGCUGUGGGACGGCGCCCCCCUCAAGGGCCAGUGGAGGAAAUACAUCUAGGGGAAGAGCUGGCAAGAAGAGGGGCUGCAAAUUGUCAACGUUGUUCUAUUUUUAUGCAAUAAAUGUUACACAGAAAUAGUCAUGUUUUAACGGAAACAAAUGCUACUAUUACUUAACAAAGGUUAACAAUAAAAGGCAUUAUUCCCUGGCAAUCUGCAUACCAUCUAAAAGGGAAAAACUAUUUUGUAACUCAGAAGCAUACAUUUUGAUAAUAGGAGCAUUUUACAGAGUAGGUUGGACACAUAGUCCUGUGGCUAACGUUCUUGCGUGUGUUCUUAAAUACCCAAUACAUUACAACAUUUAGGACAAGAAAGGGGAUGGAAUUCAGCAGAAAUCUGUUAUCUAAAUAAUGCAUGGUUAUGGCUUCGAGGUAAAAUAUGCUGUUGUCAAAACUGUUUAAGAAUAACUUAAAUGCUUCUGAUAGGAAAGGUUUUGGGCAAUAUUUCUUAACAUGUUGUGCUCAACUUAGCUAUGGAGGAAAACCACACGUUCGCUGGGGCGUUUCCCCUUGUGAAGGCCAAAAGCUUUUCCCACCCAAAGCGUGCAAGUUGCUUUCUUGGACCUCCAGCUAUAGCUCUCAUGAGGCAGGAACCCCAAAACAGCAAAAGGCGAGGGAAAGGCAAGUGGAUGCCAAUAACUCCAGGAUCCUGGCAAUCUCUGGUUGUUGUUUGUUUCCUGUCUACAAAUAGUAGUCAUUGGUAUAGGCAGGUCCCGAUAAAUUGAUACAAUGAGCACUUUAAGGUUCACCAUCAAAAAAACACCAAAGGUGGGGGCCAGCCUGGUGGUGCAGCAAUUAAGUUUGCAUGUUCUGCUUUGGUGGCCCAGGCUUCGCCAGUUCGGAUCCCAGGUGUGGGCAUGGCACCACUUGGCAAGCCAUGCUGUGGUAGGCAUCCCAUAUAUAAAGUAGAGGGAGAUGGGCACAGAUGUUAGCUCAGGGCCAGUCUUCCUCAGCAGAAAGAAGAUGAUUGGCAGCAGAUGUUAGCUCAGCACUAAUCUUCCUCAAAAACAAAAAACAUAUGAUUAAGUUAAGGAUCUUGAGAUGGGGAGAUUAUCCUGGAUUAUCCAGGUGGGCCUUAAAUGCAAUCCCAAGGAUCUUUAUAAGAGAGAGACAGAGGGAGAUUUUACUCACCUAGCUGAGAAGAAGGCCAUGUGACCACAGAGACAGAGAUUGGAGCUACGUGGUCACAAGCCAAGUGACACUGGCAGCCACCAGAAGCUGAAGGAGUGAAGGCACAGAUUCUCCUCUCGAGCUUCAGGAGGGAGCGUGGCCCUGGCCACACCUUGAUUUGCCCCCAGUGAAACUGAUUUUGGACUUCUGGCCUCCAGAACCAAGAAGGAGUAAAUUGCUGUUGUUUUAAGACACUAAAUUAGUGGUAAUUUGUGACAGCAGCCGCAGGAAAGAAAUACAACCACUGACUGUCUUGGGCAGGGUUGCAAGCAAGGGAAAUUCCACGUGGUUAACUCUACUCAGAAAGCAACUCACAGGAGAUCUAUUGGAGAGCUCUAAGAAUCAAGGACAUGAAGAAGGGCAAGUCUAAGCAUCCGAGCGGAUCUCAUUGACGUGUUGGCGGGGGUCUACACUGCAGUGAUAAAGCUCCAGCCAUAUGUUCUUGUCAGGCAUGUUCUGUGGACCAGGCACUAGGCAAAGACCUUUCCAUACC